GGGAAUGGCUUUCAGAAUAGAUCGCCGUCAUGGGGUGUCGGGGGUCGGAGGUUCAAAUCCUCUCGUGCCGACCA
RNAcentral lists this transfer RNA (74 nucleotides) under Pectobacterium carotovorum subsp. carotovorum. Its description in RNAcentral is "tRNA-Pro". The record is from RNAcentral. Lineage: Bacteria; Pseudomonadati; Pseudomonadota; Gammaproteobacteria; Enterobacterales; Pectobacteriaceae.